UGGCGGACGGGUGAGUAACGCGUGGGCAACCUGCCCUGUACCGGGGGAGUAACAGCCGGAAACGGCUGCUAAUACCGCAUAAGCGCACGAGAGCGCAUGCUUUUGUGUGAAAAACUCCGGUGGUACGGGAUGGGCCCGCGUCUGAUUAGCUUGUUGGCGGGGUAGAAGCCCACCAAGGCGACGAUCAGUAGCCGACCUGAGAGGGUGACCGGCCACAUUGGGACUGAGACACGGCCCAAACUCCUACGGGAGGCAGCAG
This 259-nucleotide ribosomal RNA is filed under the name uncultured bacterium. Its description in RNAcentral is "partial 16S ribosomal RNA". It matches the Rfam family "Bacterial small subunit ribosomal RNA", at positions 96 to 354 of the family's 1533-position model. The record is from RNAcentral.